GGAUGGCUCAGUCAGUAGAGCAUGAGGCUCUGAAUCUCAAGGUCCUGGGUUCGAGCCCCAUGUUGGGGGGAAAUA
Molecule: non-coding RNA, 75 nt
Organism: Podarcis lilfordi (Lilford's wall lizard)
Lineage: Eukaryota; Metazoa; Chordata; Lepidosauria; Squamata; Lacertidae
Source: the annotation of a GenBank genome assembly